This is a long non-coding RNA of Sebastes umbrosus (honeycomb rockfish), 565 nucleotides long. RefSeq lists it as uncharacterized. The transcript is spliced from 2 exons. Lineage: Eukaryota; Metazoa; Chordata; Actinopteri; Perciformes; Sebastidae. The record is from RefSeq and is a predicted model, not a curated record.
UAAAAGUCCAAAUAAAAACAACUGGUGUAAACUACACACCCUUACAGCAAGAAUGCUACUAUAUAAUCUUCAACAAUGCGCCCUCAUCCUGGAGAAAAGAGCAGUUUCACACUACAAACUGAGCCUCCACAGAUGCCGGCAAGUCGUUUCCGGCAUUCUCUUGUUCUUUCUGUGGCUGACUUGAUGGAGCUGAGCUGAUCACUACAAUGCUCUAUGAAGUGGACGGAUGGAGGUGGAAGCAGAAAAAAAAGUGCCUAAGGGCAGAAACCAGAAUGACCCUCCCCCCUACACACACACACACACACACACACACACACAUACACACAAUCUGAAAAUGACAGGAAGUACUGAUAAGAUAUAAGAUUUACCAUUAUGUGUGGUACUCACUAUGCAUUAACCUAUGAGAAUAUUGUUACUGUAAGUUUCAUUCAGGCAUGCACAAAUAACUGCACCAUUACCUACACUGUUAAGAAUUUCCCAGUAAAAUAACAGUGAAGAACUGGCAGCAGGGUUGCCUUUAUGUUACUGUAAAAUUAACAUUAUUAAAGUGUCGCUGAAAUUUAAA